Molecule: ribosomal RNA, 456 nt
Filed under: Triticum aestivum (bread wheat)
Lineage: Eukaryota; Viridiplantae; Streptophyta; Magnoliopsida; Poales; Poaceae
Description: partial small subunit ribosomal RNA
Source: RNAcentral
AUGUGGAACUGCAUCCUCUUCUCCCCCGACGCCCGGAGCGGCGAGCUGCAACCAUGGACGGCAGGAGCUGCAACCCGUUUUCGUGGGAGCUACGACCGGCGUCCAUGGGAGCUGCGGCCGAAAUUCGAGCUGCAACCAUGGAUGGCGGGGAGCUGCAAUCGGCCUCCGGGGGAGCUGCGUGCGGUGAACGGUGAAGGGGAAGCAAUUUUGCGUGGAAGUUCCGUUUCUCUCCGAUGUCUGAGAAGAAAGCUCCUAGGAAGUUUAUCUGGUCGGUGGACUGCAGCGAUAUUCAGGUUCAGUUACAGCAUCCAAUCAUCUGUAUAUCUCAGCGCCUCUUUUGUUUUGUACCACUCACAAUCCAUAUGUGCAUAUCAGAGGAAAUGUGCUUUCACCAGGCAUGUUGGAGCGAGCAUACCUAGUUCCCCGGUUGCAAAUAUGAUCCUAACUAGCCAUUAA